AUGGCCCGGGUAGGCGGCGGCGAUGUCGAGAUCGGGGGGCUUCCGGCGCCGGCGGGGGACCCUCGGCAGCGGGUCAUCGCCGCCGACGACUCCCUCGACGACGACGGCAAGCCCAGGCGGACAGGGACGGUGUGGACGGCGAGCGCGCACGUGAUCACGGCGGUGAUCGGCUCCGGCGUGCUGUCGCUGCCCUGGUCCGUGGCGCAGCUGGGCUGGGUCGCCGGCCCGGUCACGCUCCUGCUCUUCGCCCUCAUCACCUACUACACCUCCGUGCUCCUCGGCGACUGCUACCGCAGCGAAGACGCCGUCACCGGCAAGAGGAACUACACCUACAUGGAGGCCGUCGGGUCCCUCCUAGGUAAAGGGCAGGUGUGGUUUUGCGGCCUCUGUCAGUACGUUAAUCUCGUUGGGACUGCAAUCGGGUACACCAUUACAGCAUCCAUCAGUGCAGCGGCUCUGUACAAGGCCAACUGCUUCCACAGCAAAGGCCACUCGGCCGACUGCGGCGUGUACACCACCAUGUACAUGGUCGUGUUUGGGAUCUCCCAGAUCGUCUUCUCCCAGCUCCCCAAUCUCCACGAGAUGGCCUGGCUGUCGAUCCUCGCCGCCGUCAUGUCCUUCUCCUACGCCACCAUCGGCGUGGGCCUCUCCUUGGCACAGACCAUAACAGGUCCUACGGGCAAGACAACCAUUGGCGGCACUCAAAUUGGGGUGGACGUCACUUCGGCCCAGAAGAUAUGGCUGACAUUGCAAGCGCUCGGCAACAUCGCCUUCGCCUACUCAUACUCCAUGGUUCUUAUAGAAAUUCAGGACACGGUGAAGGCGCCGCCGGCCGAAAACAAGACGAUGAGGAAGGCGAACCUGAUGGGGGUCUCCACCACCACGGCCUUCUACAUGCUCUGCGGGUGCCUCGGCUACUCGGCCUUCGGCAACGACGCGCCGGGGAACAUGCUCACCGGCUUCGGCUUCUACGAGCCCUACUGGCUCAUCGACUUCGCCAACGUGUGCAUCGUGGUGCACCUCGUCGGCGCCUACCAGGUGUACUGCCAGCCCAUCUACGCCGCCGUGGAGAGCUGGGCGGCGGGGCGGUGGCCCAACUCGGAGUUCGUCGUCCGGCAGUACUACCCCUUCUCGGGCAAGUUCAGCCUCAACAUGUUCAGGCUAGUGUGGAGGACGGCGUUCGUGAUCGUGAGCACGGUGCUGGCCAUCUCGCUGCCAUUCUUCAACGACAUCCUCGGCCUGCUCGGCGCGCUCGGCUUCUGGCCGCUCACCGUCUACUUCCCCGUGGAGAUGUACAUCUCGCAGAGCAAGAUGAAGAAGUACUCCAGGAAGUGGGUGGCGCUGCAGACCCUGAGCUUCGCGUGCUUCGUGGUCACCGUCGCCGUCACCGUCGCCUCCAUCCAGGGGAUCACCCAGUCGCUCAAGAACUAUGUGCCGUUCAAGACCAAGUUGUGA
Molecule: ribosomal RNA, 1455 nt
Filed under: Triticum aestivum (bread wheat)
Lineage: Eukaryota; Viridiplantae; Streptophyta; Magnoliopsida; Poales; Poaceae
Description: partial small subunit ribosomal RNA
Source: RNAcentral